GACGAACGCUGGCGGCGUGCUUAACACAUGCAAGUCGAACGGAAAGGCCCUGCUUUUGUGGGGUGCUCGAGUGGCGAACGGGUGAGUAACACGUGAGUAACCUGCCCUUGACUUUGGGAUAACUUCAGGAAACUGGGGCUAAUACCGGAUAGGAGCUCCUGCUGCAUGGUGGGGGUUGGAAAGUUUCGGCGGUUGGGGAUGGACUCGCGGCUUAUCAGCUUGUUGGUGGGGUAGUGGCUUACCAAGGCUGUGACGGGUAGCCGGCCUGAGAGGGUGACCGGCCACAUUGGGACUGAGAGACGGCCCAGACUGCUACGGGAGGCAGCAGGGGGGAAUAUUGCACAAUGGGCGGAAGCCUGAUGCAGCAACGCCGCGUGCGGGAUGACGGCCUUCGGGUUGUAAACCGCUUUCGCCUGUGACGAAGCGUGAGUGACGGUAAUGGGUAAAGAAGCACCGGCUAACUACGUG
RNAcentral lists this ribosomal RNA (468 nucleotides) under uncultured bacterium. RNAcentral's name for it is "partial 16S ribosomal RNA". It matches the Rfam family "Bacterial small subunit ribosomal RNA", at positions 28 to 507 of the family's 1533-position model. The record is from RNAcentral.